AUUGCUCGUUCACACCAAAAUCGAACCCGUGGGCAUUUGAAGGAUUCUUGCGAAUUGCUGUCCGCUGUUUUCAAACCUCAAAACUACCUAUACAGUGGCAUAUAUGUAUAAUCUUGGAGGGCAUUAGCGCAC
Molecule: long non-coding RNA, 132 nt
Organism: Rhagoletis pomonella (apple maggot)
Lineage: Eukaryota; Metazoa; Arthropoda; Insecta; Diptera; Tephritidae
Exons: 3
Source: RefSeq, a predicted model, not a curated record